CUGUGUGGUGCUGGGUGUGAGUCGGAGCUAGCCUGGGUUUACCUGAGUUGCAGGGUCACCCCUCAUCGCACCCUUGUCAGUCCUCAAAUAGGGGUGCAACUGUUCCAUGAAAGGGAACAAAGAGACUGAGCUACUAGACACCAAGCUGUUUAGGACUGAACCCAUUCCUGUCCAAACGGAAGUGAUCCAGAGGGACUCUGAAUAUUACAGAAGUCAAGAGAUUUCAUCAUCUUUAUUCAAAGAAAGGGGUUUGUUUGUUGAUUUUUUGGAUUUUUUUUUUGGACCACAGCUCUAUCUACUCCCUGAAGAGUAAGGAUUAUUAAGUAAAUCAGAUGGAAAAAGAAUCGCAAAUAAGCAUAAUGUGAAGAGCAUGAGCUUUGGAAUAAGCAAGCCUGGAAUUACAAUUUUCUUUUAUUAGCUCUGUGGCUGUAAUACUCAACUUUUGCAAGCUUCAGUUUCCUCGUCUGUGAAAUGGAAUAAUAGCACUUACCUCAUUGGCUGUUGUAUGGAUUAAAUGAGACCAUGACUAUGGAUGUAUGGCAUUUGGUACCCAAUAACCCCUCAAUAAUCGGCAGCUAUAAUUAUUCAUAAUAAUAAUGGUGGUAGCAACAAACCCAGCCCAAACAUCUGAAGGACCGAUCACUAAAAAGAAGAUGAACUCAGUCCUACGUAGUAACAAGAAUGUGACAUCUAUGUUGUUGCCAAAAGUCUGGAGGAGUUGCCAGGACCAGAGAGAAGGAGGUGGUGAGGCCGGCCUGGAAGAGGGAGGGGACAGAUGUCAAGGACCCCAAUCUUGAGGUGGAAAGUUCUGUGAUUAACCCAGAUGAAUGUCUCUAACCUCCAACUCUUCUGUUCUCAGAGUUUUAAUGGGGCACACCGUGUGCUGGGCAUUGACAUAGAUGGGAAAAGCAUGACCUAAAAUAAGGGCUGGAAGCCAAGACUGGGAGGAAGGGCAAAGGGAGCAGGCAGCCUGGCACCAGGUACCAGUGAGGUGUCUGCUCUUUGUCCCCAUCACCUGUCAGCUAAGGAAUUCUGCAUGUCAUCAGUGCAAUAAAAUGUGAUCGCCAGAGUGAAAACCUUGUAAUAGACCAGCUGUGGCUUCUCUCAACACCAGUAUGUCCAAGGAGGAUGCAUUUUUAUUGCUUUUGUGGUCUUAACAAAAAAGAUUCAUGAGCAUUGUAUAAAAGGCAUAUUAAAACAAUUCGGUAAAAGGAUGAAAGAAAAA
Homo sapiens (human) is the source of this 1225-nucleotide long non-coding RNA. The record is from Ensembl. Lineage: Eukaryota; Metazoa; Chordata; Mammalia; Primates; Hominidae.